GUGCAGCUGAGGUUAAAGGCUGAAUGUGCAGUAUGUUGAUCGGUAACUACCAUCGAACAAUUUGGGGAUCUACUAGGGAACAAGCUUUCUUGGUUAAUGCUAGCAUUGUUUGCUAGUGUAAAGGGCUUCUACUUAGCAAAAGUUGUGUGGUACAUACCAGCAUUCUUGGUUGCUGCAUCCAUGGCUGUCAUUCUGGCACUGUGUUCACUGCAUGAUUGCUCCUUCAUUCCAAAGAAGAGCAUGCUAGCAAGAUUGAACUCCUGGUAGCAUCUUAUCACUUCUGAGUCAAGCUCAUCAUAUGAGCUCAUAGAGUCUGAAAUUUAAUUAGUAAAACCUUUAAAUACAUUGAUACCCACUGGGUAUGUACUGUACAUCAUAUACAUCAUCAACACCAGAAGACUGGUAGUCCAGCCAGGCUUUUGUUUCUUAGAAUUAGAGCUAUUUUCAUUAUCAUCACAUUAUGUAAGGUUAUAUUGGCUAGAACUAGUCAGAUUUCUUUCAUAGUUGCAUAUAGUACCUCUUUGAAAAAUACAAGGCUUGAUAUUAGGAAAUAAUACACCAAGAAGUAAAUAACAAACACACAGUGAACUGCAGUUUUAUAUCUGACCUGAGGCUGCAUUGUUGAGGUUGUCAAAUGAGUAGAUGGAUUUGGUGCUUGCCCUGAAUGAAACUACAGACCUACAAGGAUAUAUGCACAUACAAUUAGUGACAAAUAAAAAUUGGGUCCGACUUUGUUUAGUACACCUAAAGGUUGAGCAAACUUCUAUCCACUUAUAAAACAUCAACCUCUAAUGAAAUGGAACACCACAAUAUAGUAAUACUCUUAAUAUACCAAUAGUUGCUGUAUAACAACCACAAUACUGUGUCCUAGCAACAGCAAAAUACACUUUGAGGUAAUCAUUCUUAUAUAUAGAUACCCUUUAUAUACACUCUUGUUCCAUAUCAUUAAUCAAGGUCCCAUUUUUCAGCACAUGCCUAGACAGAAUAUAUAAACAAAUUAGUCAUCCUGUUGGUGUACUGUACAUUACCUGAAUACAUUGUAGAACAUG
Long non-coding RNA from Nematostella vectensis (starlet sea anemone), 1049 nucleotides. RefSeq lists it as uncharacterized. NCBI's taxonomy places the organism in Eukaryota, Metazoa, Cnidaria, Anthozoa, Actiniaria, Edwardsiidae. The record is from RefSeq and is a predicted model, not a curated record. The transcript is spliced from 2 exons.